RNAcentral lists this ribosomal RNA (254 nucleotides) under uncultured bacterium. RNAcentral describes it as "partial 16S ribosomal RNA". It matches the Rfam family "Bacterial small subunit ribosomal RNA", at positions 524 to 774 of the family's 1533-position model. The record is from RNAcentral.
UACGUAGGGUGCGAGCGUUGUCCGGAAUUAUUGGGCGUAAAGAGCUCGUAGGCGGUGUGUCACGUCGGCCGUGAAAACCUGGGGCUUAACUCUGGGCGUGCGGUCGAUACGGGCAUCACUAGAGUUCGGCAGGGGAGACUGGAAUUCCUGGUGUAGCGGUGAAAUGCGCAGAUAGUCAGGAGGAACACCGGUGGCGAAGGCGGGUCUCUGGGCCGAUGACUGACGCUGGAGGCACGAAAGCGUGGGAGCAAACA